This 393-nucleotide ribosomal RNA is filed under the name uncultured bacterium. RNAcentral describes it as "bacterial SSU rRNA". It matches the Rfam family "Bacterial small subunit ribosomal RNA", at positions 28 to 424 of the family's 1533-position model. The record is from RNAcentral.
GACGAACGCUGGCGGCGUGCUUAACACAUGCAAGUCGAGCGGUAAGGCCCUUUCGGGGGUACACGAGCGGCGAACGGGUGAGUAACACGUGGGUGACCUGCCCUCAGCUCUGGGAUAAGCCUGGGAAACCGGGUCUAAUACUGGAUAUGACUCCAUGACGCAUGUUGUGGGGUGGAAAGCCUUGUGCGGCUGAGGAUGGGCCCGCGGGCUAUCAGCUUGUUGGUGGGGUGANGGCCUACCAAGGCGACGGCGGGUAGCCGGCCUGAGAGGGCGACCGGCCACACUGGGACUGAGACACGGCCCAGACUCCUACGGGAGGCAGCAGUGGGGAAUCUUGCGCGAUGGGCGAAAGCCUGACGCAGCGACGCCGCGUGAGGGAUGACGGCCUCGGUU